ACCCUCCAGAUCCCUUAUCCAUAAUGCCUAAACACUGGUCUGAGUGGCCAUAAAAAGAGGAAAAGUGAAAGUUAAAGUUACUUAAAUUCUUUGUGACACAAAAAUUAGUUUAAAAAAAAA
Molecule: small nucleolar RNA, 120 nt
Filed under: Echinops telfairi (small Madagascar hedgehog)
Lineage: Eukaryota; Metazoa; Chordata; Mammalia; Afrosoricida; Tenrecidae
Description: Small nucleolar RNA SNORA61 (ENSETEG00000024818.1)
Source: RNAcentral